AACGAACGCUGGCGGCAGGCCUAACACAUGCAAGUCGAACGCCCCGCAAGGGGAGUGGCGCACGGGUGAGUAACGCGUGGGAAUAUGCCCUUCGGUUCGGAAUAACACAGGGAAACUUGUGCUAAUACCGGAUACGAUCUACGGAUGAAAGAUUUAUCGCCGAGGGAGUAGCCCGCGUAGGAUUAGCUAGUUGGUGAGGUAACGGCUCACCAAGGCGACGAUCCUUAGCUGGUCUGAGAGGAUGAUCAGCCACACUGGGACUGAGACACGGCCCAGACUCCUACGGGAGGCAGCAGUGGGGAAUAUUGGACAAUGGGCGAAAGCCUGAUCCAGCCAUGCCGCGUGAGUGAUGAAGGCCUUAGGGUUGUAAAGCUCUUUCGCCAGGGAAGAUAAUGACGGUACCUGGAAAAGAAGCCUCGGCUAACUCCGUGCCAGCCGCCGCUGUAA
Molecule: ribosomal RNA, 447 nt
Filed under: uncultured bacterium
Lineage: Bacteria
Description: partial 16S ribosomal RNA
Rfam family: Bacterial small subunit ribosomal RNA
Source: RNAcentral